UGUGAAUCCUUUUAUGGGAAAUGAUGAUUUCUUUGAGCAAAGGUCUUUCCACACUCCAUGCAUUUAUACGGCUUCUCCCGUGUGAUCAUCUUAUAGGAAAUAAGAUGAGCUCGUCGAGCAAAGGUCUUUCCACACACUAUGCAUUUAUACGGCUUCUCUCCUGUGUGGAUCAUCUUAUGGGAAGUAAGUUUACUGCUCAGAGCAAAGAUCUUUCCACACUCCAUGCAUUUAUAUGGCUUCUCCCCUGUGUGGUUUCUUUUAUGGUUAGUAAGUGUACUGCUAUUAGCAAAG
Molecule: long non-coding RNA, 291 nt
Organism: Ahaetulla prasina
Lineage: Eukaryota; Metazoa; Chordata; Lepidosauria; Squamata; Colubridae
Exons: 2
Source: RefSeq, a predicted model, not a curated record